UCACUCUCUCCCUCCGCUCCCUCCCACUUUUGUCUGUUGCUGUCUCUGAUGCUUACUCUUUCGUUUCUUCUUAUCAUUUGUAUCUCUUUCCUUCUUUCUGUUUUUUCUUUCUCUCUUUCUUUUCCUCCAGCUCUCUUUAUCUCGUAUUCCUCUGUCCUCCUUGACCUCUUUGGCUCCCUCUGAGCAUUAAUGGCUUUUUAACUGGAUUCAUUGUUUGCAGACCGUUGGUUUUCAAACCACAACAACUCAGGUGUGUGUGGGCGCACGUAUACAGAGUACAAGUAGAUGAAGUCUUCAGGGUUCAGCUACAGAUGUGAAUCUCAAAGGGCUAUGGUAAAAGUGCCAGGUGUGAGAAUAACAUGAGCAAGGCUAACGACAGAGACACAGGUGAGUGUGAUCACAAUAAUCAAGUGAACAGACAGGCCGGAGACGCAGACAAUGGAACCUGGAGUGUGGUUUCAAAUCCAAGCAUUGCUGCUUAGCCUGUUAGCCUGGCUAGUAGUCCCUCUAGAAAGAAUUUUUAAAUACAAAAAUAUAACAUCAGCUGUAUUUGCAAUGCUCUACUGAAGUAUUAUUUUAGUUUUCCUACACAAGAAAAUUCAAAAGGUCGUAAAAGAAGGACAAGGAUUUAAACCCACAUCAUGGGCACCCCAGUCUGAGACCUUAAAGGUUGAUGUUGUAAAGCAUAACAAUGACAUCAUCAAAUGGAUAUUCAAUGUUGAACUAUACAUUCUUUCCAAUAAACUACCUACUCGCCAACAUAUUGAUCCAUCCAUCUUUAUAUUGUUAUUGAGUUUUGGCCAGAGGAAAAUGAUUUUAAUCAGAGUUUUAAAUGAAUGUAGAAUAGUGUUGGCCUCAUUUAUGUUUAAGACAAUGCAUUUCCUCAGCUAAAAUAAAAAAACUAAUGAGAUUGUUUGUUGGUAGAGGGAGUUACAGUCCCUGUAGAUCAGCUCAAUUUACUUAGUGCACAUUGAAAUGCAGAAAAAGGCCACUAGAGGAUGUUAAUUAAGACACACUCUCAGAAUAAACCCUUUACUUCCAGGACACAGUCUCCAGAGGCAGCAGCAGCAGAUACUGGUGAAUCCGAUGUGCAGUAUGGGGGCCAAUUAUCAGACGCUUUUGCUGGUUGUUGCUGAGAGCAUACAAUUUAAACUGUGGACAGGAGCCCACACCUCGGCCCAGCAUGAGCCAAUAUGACAGAAGCAGUAUUCUUCUUUUAAUCCUGCUUUUAAUUUCCCAUGUGAUCAGUGAUCAUUGUAGACUGUUGACUGCUGUAGGGACUAGUGCCAAGAACUUGGGACGGUUUCACUAAUUGUAUGUUUUCCAUUGCAGUUUACAAACAACAAACCAAGUGGAUUUACUGCGACUGUUUGGGAUGUUGACUGACUCAGUUGUUGUACGGUGUUAGCAAAUAGAGGAAAUAUCCAGGAAUGAACGUACAUGGUGCAGCAUAUACCUUUGAUUGGUCUCCGGGGCUGAGUCCUGACCUGGGUCU
This is a long non-coding RNA of Cynoglossus semilaevis (tongue sole), 1495 nucleotides long. RefSeq lists it as uncharacterized. The record is from RefSeq and is a predicted model, not a curated record. Lineage: Eukaryota; Metazoa; Chordata; Actinopteri; Pleuronectiformes; Cynoglossidae. The transcript has 3 exons.